RNAcentral lists this ribosomal RNA (252 nucleotides) under uncultured bacterium. RNAcentral describes it as "partial 16S ribosomal RNA". It matches the Rfam family "Bacterial small subunit ribosomal RNA", at positions 524 to 776 of the family's 1533-position model. The record is from RNAcentral.
UACAGAGGUCCCGAGCGUUGUUCGGAUUCACUGGGCGUAAAGGGUGCGUAGGUGGCUGGGAAAGUUUGAUGUGAAAGCUCAGGCUUAACCCUGAAAUGGCAUUGAAUACUACUUAGCUGGAGGUUUGGAGGGGGGACUGGAAUUCUUGGUGUAGCAGUGAAAUGCGUAGAUAUCAAGAGGAACACCAGUGGCGAAGGCGAGUCCCUGGACAACACCUGACACUGAGGCACGAAAGCUAGGGGAGCAAACAGG